RNAcentral lists this ribosomal RNA (491 nucleotides) under uncultured bacterium. RNAcentral describes it as "partial 16S ribosomal RNA". It matches the Rfam family "Bacterial small subunit ribosomal RNA", at positions 28 to 507 of the family's 1533-position model. The record is from RNAcentral.
GAUGAACGCUGGCUACAGGCUUAACACAUGCAAGUCGAGGGGAAACGCCGGGGAAGCUUGCUUCCCCGGGCGUCGACCGGCGCACGGGUGAGUAACGCGUAUCCAACCUGCCUCUGACUGAGGGAUAACCCGCCGAAAGUCGGCCUAAUACCUCAUGGUAUCGUCUGCGGGCAUCCAACGACGAUUAAAGAUUUCAUCGGUCAGGGAUGGGGAUGCGUCUGAUUAGCUUGUUGGCGGGGUACCGGCCCACCAAGGCUACGAUCAGUAGGGGUUCUGAGAGGAGGGGCCCCCACAGGGGAACUGGGACACGGUCCAAACUCCUACGGGAGGCAGCAGUGAGGGAUAUUGGACAGUGGACGAGAGCCUGAACCGGCCAAGUAGGGUGCAGGAAGACGGCCCUAUGGGUUGUAAACUGCUUUUAUGCGGGGAUAAAGUGAGGGACGUGUCCCUCAUUGCAGGUACCGCAUGAAUAAGGACCGGCUAAUUCCGUG